Molecule: long non-coding RNA, 1360 nt
Organism: Mytilus californianus (California mussel)
Lineage: Eukaryota; Metazoa; Mollusca; Bivalvia; Mytilida; Mytilidae
Exons: 3
Source: RefSeq, a predicted model, not a curated record
CCCCCCUAAAAUUUGCAAAGCAUGGGUUGUCUUCAGCUUAAUAAAGAAUAUUUCGAUAAUUUUACCUCAAACAAAUUUUAAGUUUGCCCCCCUAACCUAAAAUCCUGGAUCCGCCAUUGGGAAUAACAUGCAGGUAAUUUAUCCCAAACUAAGUUUGGAGACUUAUAAUUGUGCUCAAUUGUUGUUAUUAUGUCGCCAGCUUUCUUCUUUCAUACCUGACCUUGUACGCAACAGUUUUCAAAAACUGAAAGUCUGACCUGCACAGAACGCGCAUUAUAAAAAUAUUUUCGUUUCAACGUCGAAAUGACACUUGUCAAUAUUACUUCAUUCUUGAAUUUAACAUACUUGAUUUGUUAAUUUUAUCGGUUUCAUUUGCAUAGUCGCGAAUGAUUAUAAGAAAGACAAUGCAUAGUGUUACUACUUAAAUAAUUUUGGUAUCGAUUUUUAAUGUCCCUCUUGCUUACGUAACGUUAGAAAUACACAAUGAAAAUUUUCAAAAUUUAGUUUUUUUAAAUUCAUUAAAGUCAAAUCAACCUAUCUUUUGUUGUAGAUCGAUCGUUGUAAAAUUUUGAAGAUUUCCUAGGAUAUGCAUAGAAAACAUGUUUACCAAUUUCCAAACCUUUCCGUGUUAAGGAAGCUAAAAACGCUCGCAGAUUCAUCGAUCACUUUUAAGAGACGCAAAGAGAUACGUGGAACUAAUAACCUGAGAGUCCCAAUCAAGGUCGUUUAUAUAGAUCCAGAUUACUGAUAUGAUCAGAUGUUUAUUUCCCAUAUAAAUCUUACCACGGAGAAAGGGAAAAUUUAAAAGAUUACAAGAUGAAGACACUGUUUAUUGCCAUCUGUAUUUUCUGUGUGACAUUGGCAACAUUAGUACAUGGGUCAACGACUCCAGCCCCCACCGAAGACACUCAUAAUAGUGACUGCUUGCUGCCGACGACACCAGGACUUUGUAAGGGAUAUUUCCCGCGGUAUUCGUUCCGGGCAAAUACAAACACAUGCGAGAUGUUCGCCUAUGGUGGCUGUGGUGGGAAUGCCAACAAUUUCCUAAACAUAAAAGAGUGUCAGAUAGCUUGUAUACCAGUUAAAUAACCAUAAAGACACCCUUAUAAAAUCAUGUGGCGAUAUAAUUGUAUUGCAGUAGCAGAGUAAAAACUAUGAAUUAAAAACAAAACUCAACCAUUUUAUGAAUUCCUUGACAAAAUUAUUGCGCCGAAUUGAAAAUGAAAAUAGACAUAAAUUUUAUUUACCAAAAUGUUAAUCAAAGCAGUAUUGUUAUGUAAAUAAUAUGAUUAUAAGAAUUAUUAUACAGUUUUAUUGUAAACAGAAAUAGAACCUGACUGAGAGAACUUGACAACAUAGU